CAGGGCCACAAACCCCGGGGUGUCUGACAUGUUUCUCAAAGAGCGGAGCUGGUUUCAUGUCUAUCACAUUUCUGACUGUUACACACCUUUUCUCUCCUUCUUCUCUCUUUAGGGGGACAAACCAGAUGGAGUCCUUCCCCCUGGCACUUGGCCCUUGCACCCCCCUGCCCACCUCAGACUUCCAGCAGCAUAAGAAGCAUUACGAUUAGCGCGGAAGGCUGGUCAUUCGAUGGAUGAGACUUCGGCACUGCUGAGACCGUCCGGAGGGGCCUCGCGCAAGUUGCGCAUCCAGCGCUGGAUGCCGCGGCGGUUUAGGUAGAGCACCAUGAGGAAGAUGAGGCCGAUGAGCGCCAGCACCAGCCCGAAGAAGACGUAGGAGGCUUCCAGCUCCGGGCCGGCGAGUUCCACUUCUUCCCCGCGACCGUAUGCAUCGCCGUCGGCACAGCGCAGCCGAGCCUCGUCCAGGUCCAGGAAAGGCCGGUCCUGCAGCGCCCGCGGGGCGGCGCAGCGCAGGCGCCGCGCGUCGGGUACGCGCUCAGUGGAGUUGCGCAGCCAGGCCAGCAGGGGGCGCGCGGCACAGCCGCAGCUCAGGGGGUUGUCGGCGAGCAGCAGGCGCGGCGCGGGGAGGCCGCCAUCGCGCUCGAGCGCGCGCAGCUCGUCGGGGCCCAGGCCGGUCAACGCGUUGAGGCGCGCGUCCAGCUGCUCCAGGCGCGGCCGGCUCAGAGCUGCGGGCGGCAGGCGGCUCAGCGCGUUGCCCGCCAGGCCCACCAGGCGCAGCUCGUCCAGCGGGGCGAGCGCGGUGUCCAGCGCGGCCAGCAGCGUGGGGCCGCCCCGCGCCAGCGCGUGGUUGAGCUGCAGGGAACGCAGCGCGGGCAGUCCGCGGAAGGCGCCGCCGCCCAGCGCGCGCAGAGGGUUGUUGCUCAGGUCGAGCGCCGUCAGGCUGGGCAGCCCGUCGAAGGCGCCGUCCUCCACCACCUCGAUAUUGUUGUGCGUGAGGCGCAGCGCGCUGAGGAGCGGCAGGCGCACGCCGCCCGCUGCUGCCUCCUCCUCCUCCCCGUCAGCGUCCCCGCCGGCGAAGGCGGCCGCGCGAAGCACGGUCAGGUUGGCGCCCACGAUGGUGAGGUUGCGCGCGUCGGGCGGCACGUCCCGCGGGGGCUGCCGGAGCUCGGCGCCCGACGCGCAGCGCAACAGCAGCUUGGGGCCGCCGAAGCAGUAGCACUGGAAGGGACAGGGCGCGGCGGGCCGGCUCAGCGCCGCCGCCACCAGCAGCAGCCCCGGCAGGAGCGGCCCCCUUUGCUCCGGCUGUCCCGAGCGCGGGGCCAUCGCAGCUGCCCCGGCAUCCAGCGCCCUGGCCGCCGCGCUCACCAAACUGGGAAGCUCCAGACCUGA
This 1389-nucleotide long non-coding RNA is filed under the name Felis catus (domestic cat). Its description in RNAcentral is "lncRNA (ENSFCAG00000043913.2)". The record is from RNAcentral. Lineage: Eukaryota; Metazoa; Chordata; Mammalia; Carnivora; Felidae.